CCUACGGUGAGCAGCAGUGAGGAAUAUUGGUCAAUGGACGGAAGUCUGAACCAGCCAUGCCGCGUGCAGGAAGACGGCUCUAUGAGAUGUAAACUGCUGUUGUACAAGGGUAAACCUGAAUACGUGGAUUCAGCUGAAAGUACUGUACGAAGAAGGAUCGGCCAACUCCUUGCCAGCAGCCGCGGUAAUACGGAGGAGCCAAGCGUUAUCCGGAUUUAUUGGGUUUAAAGGUUGCGUAGGCGGAUUGAUAAGUUAGAGGUGAAAUGUCCGAGCUUAACUCGGGAACUGUCUCUAAUAAUGUUGAUCUAGAGAGUAGAUGCGGUAGGCGGAAUGUAUGGUGUAGCGGUGAAAUGCUUAGAGAUCAUACAGAACACCGAUUGAGAAGGCAGCUUACCAAUCUAUAUCUGACGUUGAGGCACGAAAGCGUGGGGAGCAAACAGGAUUAGAUACCCGGGUAGUC
Molecule: ribosomal RNA, 460 nt
Filed under: uncultured bacterium
Lineage: Bacteria
Description: partial 16S ribosomal RNA
Rfam family: Bacterial small subunit ribosomal RNA
Source: RNAcentral